This is a long non-coding RNA of Oreochromis aureus, 758 nucleotides long. NCBI's taxonomy places the organism in Eukaryota, Metazoa, Chordata, Actinopteri, Cichliformes, Cichlidae. The record is from Ensembl.
GUUACAGACCUGUUCUCUCACUCAGGGACUUUCAGCUUCAUCUGACCCUCAAACGUCAUCUCAUGUUGUCUCGUCUGAAGCUCAGAUUCUAAUUUUAAUACAGGAACAGAAAUGUCUGCUGGAACUGCGUCACGCUGCUCCAAUUUCCUGUUUUUCAGCGUCUUUGUCUUUGUCUCAGCAGGUCAGAAAUCCAUCACAGCUAAGUCUGGACAGGACGUCACUCUGACAUGUCGAGCUCCAAACAACAACAACAACAUCAGAUCUGCACACUGGAGCAGAGCUGGCCUGUGAGAUAAAUAUGUGCUUUUGUACCGGGGUGGACAGUUUGUUCCAGAUGACCAGCAUCCAUCUUUUAAGAACCGGGUGGAUCUGCAGGACAGACAGAUGAAGGAUGGAGACGUGUCUUUGAUUCUAAGAAAUGUGUCGAUUGCUGAUAUUGGAACAUACGAGUGUCAUGUUUACAUGACAGAAAGACACUCAUGGAAGAUCAUCAGCAACACCACCCUGAGUGUUGUUGUUUGUCAAGCCUUUUUGGCCAGGGUGAAGGGAGUAUCUGCCAUCAAACAAGAAGACAGCCGCAUGUAACUACGACGAGGUUUGCUAGUUCACCUUACAUGCAUUAAUGUAAUAACGUGGUUAGUGUACUCAACGUAAAUUACACACGAACAACAUGAAGCUACUCACGCAGAGGAGAACGGCUGCUGCUGCCAUCAUCAUCCGUCAUCAUUUCUGCUACACUGACAGGGCUAGGGGCCAGG